GGGGACGCUGCGGCGCGGGCAUGCCGGGACUUGUAGUUCUCCUGGAAGAGGCAGCCGCCCUGCAAUCGGUGCGCGGAGUCUGAGCGAUCCCAGCCUAGAGAUUCGGUUUCUUGUUGUGACUAUUGCCUGAGCCUUUCGGAGAGUUCGGUAUUGCUCGUAGAGCUAUGCUAGUCUGCUUGUAGAGUGAAUUGGGGGCCAUUUCUCCUGAGAUAGGCAGCAUGGUACCAGCUAUAACCUCCUUGAACUGGCUACUUGAAAGAAGUCUUCCUUCAGUGAUAUCACUUCUUCCAAGAUACAGAAGCCAAAAUAUGGAGUCCACAAAAAAUAGUGAUAAAUCUGGAAACAGCCUACAGGGAUCUUCACUCUGGAUCAUUUUUUAUGUUUAGCACCACCCCAGAUCUUCAACUACCUAAUAGUAAGCUAAAGAUGAUAAUACUUCAAUUGAAUGCUAAAUUAUGUUUAAAGCAAAUAUUUUAUUGGCUUUAAAAUAUUCCAU
Molecule: long non-coding RNA, 496 nt
Filed under: Ictidomys tridecemlineatus (thirteen-lined ground squirrel)
Lineage: Eukaryota; Metazoa; Chordata; Mammalia; Rodentia; Sciuridae
Description: lncRNA (ENSSTOG00000034181.1)
Source: RNAcentral